This 638-nucleotide ribosomal RNA is filed under the name uncultured bacterium. RNAcentral's name for it is "bacterial SSU rRNA". It matches the Rfam family "Bacterial small subunit ribosomal RNA", at positions 53 to 692 of the family's 1533-position model. The record is from RNAcentral.
ACAUGCAAGUCGAACGGGAAACCUAUUAUUGAAACUUCGGUCGAUUUAAUUUGUUUCUAGUGGCGGACGGGUGAGUAACGCGUGGGUAACCUGCCCUAUACAGGGGGAUAACAACCAGAAAUGGUUGCUAAUACCGCAUAAGCGCACGGGACCGCAUGGUCCGGUGUGAAAAACUCCGGUGGUAUAGGAUGGACCCGCGUUGGAUUAGCUGGUUGGUGGGGUAACGGCCCACCAAGGCGACGAUCCAUAGCCGGCCUGAGAGGGUGAACGGCCACAUUGGGACUGAGACACGGCCCAGACUCCUACGGGAGGCAGCAGUGGGGAAUAUUGCACAAUGGGGGAAACCCUGAUGCAGCGACGCCGCGUGAAGGAAGAAGUAUCUCGGUAUGUAAACUUCUAUCAGCAGGGAAGAUAGUGACGGUACCUGACUAAGAAGCCCCGGCUAACUACGUGCCAGCAGCCGCGGUAAUACGUAGGGGGCAAGCGUUAUCCGGAUUUACUGGGUGUAAAGGGAGCGUAGACGGAAUGGCAAGUCUGAUGUGAAAGGCCGGGGCUCAACCCCGGGACUGCAUUGGAAACUGUCAAUCUAGAGUACCGGAGGGGUAAGUGGAAUUCCUAGUGUAGCGGUGAAAUGCGUA